This 465-nucleotide ribosomal RNA is filed under the name uncultured Klebsiella sp. Its description in RNAcentral is "bacterial SSU rRNA". It matches the Rfam family "Bacterial small subunit ribosomal RNA", at positions 338 to 795 of the family's 1533-position model. Lineage: Bacteria; Pseudomonadati; Pseudomonadota; Gammaproteobacteria; Enterobacterales; Enterobacteriaceae. The record is from RNAcentral.
CCUACGGGCGGCUGCAGUGGGGAAUAUUGCACAAUGGGCGCAAGCCUGAUGCAGCCAUGCCGCGUGUGUGAAGAAGGCCUUCGGGUUGUAAAGCACUUUCAGCGGGGAGGAAGGCGUUAAGGUUAAUAACCUUGGCGAUUGACGUUACCCGCAGAAGAAGCACCGGCUAACUCCGUGCCAGCAGCCGCGGUAAUACGGAGGGUGCAAGCGUUAAUCGGAAUUACUGGGCGUAAAGCGCACGCAGGCGGUCUGUCAAGUCGGAUGUGAAAUCCCCGGGCUCAACCUGGGAACUGCAUUCGAAACUGGCAGGCUAGAGUCUUGUAGAGGGGGGUAGAAUUCCAGGUGUAGCGGUGAAAUGCGUAGAGAUCUGGAGGAAUACCGGUGACGAAGGCGGCCCCCUGGACAAAGACUGACGCUCAGGUGCGAAAGCGUGGGGAGCAAACAGGAUUAGAUACCCCGGUAGUC